AUUGAACACUGGCGGCAGGCCUAACACAUGCAAGUCGAGCGGAUGAAGGGAGCUUGCUCCUGGAUUCAGCGGCGGACGGGUGAGUAAUGCUUAGGAAUCUGCCUGGUAGUGGGGGAUAACGUCCGGAAACGGGCGCUAAUACCGCAUACGUCCUGAGGGAGAAAGUGGGGGAUCUUCGGACCUCACGCUAUCAGAUGAGCCUAGGUCGGAUUAGCUAGUUGGUGGGGUAAAGGCCUACCAAGGCGACGAUCCGUAACUGGUCUGAGAGGAUGAUCAGUCACACUGGAACUGAGACACGGUCCAGACUCCUACGGGAGGCAGCAGUGGGGAAUAUUGGACAAUGGGCGAAAGCCUGAUCCAGCCAUGCCGCGUGUGUGAAGAAGGUCUUCGGAUUGUAAAGCACUUUAAGUUGGGAGGAAGGGCAGUAAGUUAAUACCUUGCUGUUUUGACGUUACCAACAGAAUAAGCACCGGCUAACUUCGUG
This 484-nucleotide ribosomal RNA is filed under the name uncultured bacterium. RNAcentral describes it as "partial 16S ribosomal RNA". It matches the Rfam family "Bacterial small subunit ribosomal RNA", at positions 30 to 507 of the family's 1533-position model. The record is from RNAcentral.